RNAcentral lists this long non-coding RNA (506 nucleotides) under Ananas comosus (pineapple). Its description in RNAcentral is "long non-coding RNA (ACOM_LNC028008)". The record is from RNAcentral. Lineage: Eukaryota; Viridiplantae; Streptophyta; Magnoliopsida; Poales; Bromeliaceae.
GGUUUGGGCAUUUUGGGGCUGUAAUACACCGAAAUUUUAAUAUAAAAGUAAGUAUAAAUAAAAAUAGUGUAAGAUACUAUUUUUAUUGGACUUAGAAAUAAAACAUAAGUCGGAAACGACUUGUACUGGUAUCGGAACGGAAACAGAAGAUUUAGAAUUUUCUGUAAGAAAUAGGACUGAUAUUUUAGCAGAAAAUUUAUAGUGUCAAAAAAUUAUGAAAACUUGGAAAUAUGUCGGAAUUAUUUUUAUGGGGUUAGAUUUAAAGUUUCAUGUUAUUCCGACAUCCGGAAAGUGAAAAAUAAAAUCUGACUGCUAUCUGCUAGAGAUUUCAGUUCGGUAAAACUUUCGGUGACAAAAAAUGGUCUAAACUGGGAAGUUAAGAUAUAUUUCUUUUAUUUACCUUAAACCGAGCCUGGCUGUCAAAUUUGAGCGCAAAUUGACAUUCAGAAGGGCUCAGGCGAAAAGUAUUAGAUUCUGAGCUGCUAAAUUGAAAUUAAGUUAUAUAU